UACGGGGGGUGCAAACGUUGCUCGGAAUUAUUGGGCGUAAAGCGCACGUAGGCGGUCGCGUAAGUCGGGUGUGAAAGCCCCAGGCUUAAACUGGGAAGUGCACUCGAAACUGCGAGGCUUGAGUAUGGAAGAGGGUCUCGGAAUUCCCGGUGUAGAGGUGAAAUUCGUAGAUAUCGGGAGGAACACCAGUGGCGAAGGCGGAGACCUGGGCCAAUACUGACGCUGAGUUGCGAAAGCGUGUGGAGCAUACAGG
Molecule: ribosomal RNA, 253 nt
Filed under: uncultured bacterium
Lineage: Bacteria
Description: partial 16S ribosomal RNA
Rfam family: Bacterial small subunit ribosomal RNA
Source: RNAcentral